UAGGGAAUCUUCGGCAAUGGGGGGAACCCUGACCGAGCAACGCCGCGUGAGUGAAGAAGGUUUUCGGAUCGUAAAGCUCUGUUGUUAAGGAAGAACGAGUGUGAGAAUGGAAAGUUCAUACUGUGACGGUACUUAACCAGAAAGGGACGGCUAACUACGUGCCAGCAGCCGCGGUAAUACGUAGGUCCCGAGCGUUGUCCGGAUUUAUUGGGCGUAAAGCGAGCGCAGGCGGUUAGAUAAGUCUGAAGUUAAAGGCAGUGGCUCAACCAUUGUAGGCUUUGGAAACUGUUUAACUCGAGUGCAGAAGGGGAGAGUGGAAUUCCAUGUGUAGCGGUGAAAUGCGUAGAUAUAUGGAGGAACACCGGUGGCGAAAGCGGCUCUCUGGUCUGUAACUGACGCUGAGGCUCGAAAGCGUGGGGAGCGAACAGG
Molecule: ribosomal RNA, 429 nt
Filed under: Bacteroidota bacterium
Lineage: Bacteria; Pseudomonadati; Bacteroidota
Description: Bacteroidetes bacterium partial 16S ribosomal RNA
Rfam family: Bacterial small subunit ribosomal RNA
Source: RNAcentral